CUCAAAAUUCUCUGCCUAUAUGCACAACCAAAUAUCUCCCAGUAUCAUUCACCACCACCAAAAAAAAAAAAAAAAAAAAAAAAAAAAUUAACAUUCCACACUUGUCCUCCUCUUUGUCACUCUGUCUCUCGCUCAGCCAAUGAUGUCAUUUCCAUCUAAAGCCAUGGAUAAAAUGGCGGUCAAGAUCUUUGUAAUCUUCAUACAGACCAACCUCAUAGUAGAGUCUCAACCAAAAUCUGAUAAGUUUGCCAGGGCAACCGGAUCAUGUCGGUUUUCAACAAUUUUUGGACCAUGUCAUAGUGGAUGAAAGGCAACAUAGAGCACUCUUUUACUAUAUUGUGGAAGCAGAAGAACACCCUGCUUCAAGGCCUCUCGUUCUCUGGCUUGCUGGAGGGCCUGGCUGUUCCUCUGUUGGAGCUGGAGCUUUCAUGGAGCAUGGACCUUUUAGACCAAAUGGAGAGAAUCUGGUGAAGAAUGAGUAUAGUUGGAAUAAAGGUCCCAAAGCUUAAUAAUUUCAUAUAUAUAUAUAUAUAUAUAUAUAUAUUUUUUUUUUCAGUGUUGACAUAGCAUAUAGCGUAGUAUUAAUUUGGUCAUGCCAUGUAGUAUAGAUGAUAUGUACUUAGAAUUGUGAGUUUAAUUUUGAUGGUUACAGAAGCCAAUAUGUUGUACCUGGAGUCACCAGCAGCGGUUGGUUUCUCUUAUUCUUCUAAUAAAUCAUUUUACUCCUACAUCAACGAUGAUAUAACAGGUUUGCUUA
Molecule: long non-coding RNA, 757 nt
Organism: Ziziphus jujuba (common jujube)
Lineage: Eukaryota; Viridiplantae; Streptophyta; Magnoliopsida; Rosales; Rhamnaceae
Exons: 2
Source: RefSeq, a predicted model, not a curated record